Molecule: unclassified non-coding RNA, 350 nt
Filed under: soil metagenome
Description: partial contains 5.8S ribosomal RNA, internal transcribed spacer 2, and large subunit ribosomal RNA
Rfam family: 5.8S ribosomal RNA (bases 1-120)
Source: RNAcentral
GAUGAAGAACGUAGCGAAAUGCGAUAAGUAAUGUGAAUUGCAGAAUUCAGUGAAUCAUCGAAUCUUUGAACGCACAUUGCGCCCGCCAGUAUUCUGGCGGGCAUGCCUGUUCGAGCGUCAUUACAACCCUCAGGCCCCCGGGCCUGGCGUUGGGGAUCGGCGGAGCCCCCCGUGGGCACACGCCGUCCCCCAAAUGCAGUGGCGGUCCCGCCGCAGCUUCCAUCGCGUAGUAGCUAACACCUCGCGACUGGAGAGCGGCGCGGCCACGCCGUAAAACACCCAACUCUUCUGAAGUUGACCUCGAAUCAGGUAGGAAUACCCGCUGAACUUAAGCAUAUCAAUACGGAGGA